UGAGAAGUAAGGUAUUACAGAGAAGAACUCAUAUCUAUUCUUCCACUUCUAACUGUCCUGUCUGGCUGGAGUGAUAGUCAUGCCAUUAAGUAAGCCAAGAAACUCCUCCACGCCUUCUGCUUCCCAAUCUUGAAGAGGUCGAGGCACACCCAUUCGACGGGGAUUAGGAGGCAUAUCAAUGCUAAAGUGGUCUCCCACUGGAGAUUAUUUUUUCGCAGCGAAGUUUGAUGGGACAUUUUAUCUUUGGGAGACAAACACAUGGACAUCAGAACCUUGGUCCUCAACCAGUGGCUUUGUCACGUUGACCAGUUUCAAGCUCGGAGAAAGGAUUGUUGUAGUUUAGAUGACAGAUGUAGAACUUGUAGCCACAACUCUUGAAGAUUGGUUAUAUUUUCUAGCAGGUGCAUUCAUUUUCAUUG
Camellia sinensis is the source of this 419-nucleotide non-coding RNA. The record is from RefSeq and is a predicted model, not a curated record. NCBI's taxonomy places the organism in Eukaryota, Viridiplantae, Streptophyta, Magnoliopsida, Ericales, Theaceae.